CCAGUCGUAGCCGAUGUUCCACAGGGGGCCCAGGACAGACCCAUGCGGAGCACCGCGCUCGACGGG
Molecule: microRNA precursor, 66 nt
Filed under: Bombyx mori (domestic silkworm)
Lineage: Eukaryota; Metazoa; Arthropoda; Insecta; Lepidoptera; Bombycidae
Description: mir-3389 microRNA precursor family
Rfam family: mir-3389 microRNA precursor family
Source: Rfam by way of RNAcentral